Molecule: ribosomal RNA, 482 nt
Filed under: uncultured bacterium
Lineage: Bacteria
Description: bacterial SSU rRNA
Rfam family: Bacterial small subunit ribosomal RNA
Source: RNAcentral
AACGAACGCUGGCGGCAGGCCUAAUACAUGCAAGUCGAACGAUCCUUCGGGAUAGUGGCGCACGGGUGAGUAACACGUGGGAACAUACCCUUGGGUGCGGAACAACGUCGGGAAACUGACGCUAAUACCGCAUAAUGACUCCGGUCCAAAGAUUUAUCGCCCAAGGAUUGGCCCGCGCUAGAUUAGGUUGUUGGUGAGGUAACGGCUCACCAAGCCUACGAUCUAUAGCUGGUCUGAGAGGAUGAUCAGCCACACUGGGACUGAGACACGGCCCAGACUCCUACGGGAGGCAGCAGUAAGGAAUAUUGGACAAUGGGGGCAACCCUGAUCCAGCCAUGCCGCGUGAGUGAAGAAGGCCUUAGGGUUGUAAAGCUCUUUCAGCCGGGAAGAAAACGCAUGGGUUAAUACCCUGUGUGGAUGACGGUACCGGAAUAAGAAGCACCGGCUAACUACGUGCCAGCAGCCGCGGUAAAGUACAGUGU